UUACCCUUUCUUCCGGUGGAGUCGCACCGCGGGUCCCGUGUGCGGUUCUGGGCCCUCAGUUCAGAAGGACCUUGAGGGGCUGGGGUGGGUCCAGAGAAGGGCAGUGAGGCUGGUGAGGGGUCUGGAGCACAGGCCCUGUGAGGAGCAGCUGGGGAGUCUAGGCUGCAGAAAAGGAGGCUCAGGGAUGACUUUGGCACUCUGCACAGCUCCUGACAGAAAGCUGUAGCCAGGUGGGAAUUGGCCUCCCCUUCCUGGGAACUCAGACUCUUAAACUGUGCUGUGCUGGACAUCAGGAAGAAUUUCUUCAUGGCGGGGGUGAUCAGACCUUGGAACAGGCUGCUCGGGGAGAUGUGGGGUCACUGUCCCUGGGGGUGUCUGGGGAAAGGCUGGCUGUGGUGCUUGGUGCCAUGGUCUGGCUGACAUCCAGGAGUUUGGUCAUAGGUUGGAUUUGACGACCUCAGGUCUUUUACAACCUAAUUGCUUCAGUUUAAGGUGGGUGGGGGCAGUGGUAUCAAAGUGCCCUGUUUGUCUGUGGGCUGUUUAUUCCAGUGGAGCAGAAGAGCUCUGCUCCUAGCAGGCUCUGGGCUGUGCUGUUGGGCCUGGAGAAAGCUGAGGGGCUGGAAGGGUUGGACUCGCAGCAUCUCCUGAGCAUGUCUGUGGUGAGCUUAGUGGCAAGGAUUGCCCUCAUCCCAGGGUGCAGAGCCCUGUGGCUGAUGCUCUGGAGGAAGGGUACUACUUCAUUAUUUCCUUCCUUGCCCUCAGAAGGUUCAACAUGUGGAACUGGCCUCAGGGGACCUGGGGUGGGGGCAUCACUGCCCCCAUCACUGCAAAGGAAUGUGUGCAUGGAGAGGGUUGCUGACAAAUGGCCUCUGCUGUGUCUCAGGGCUCCCCUGUGAACAGGCACAGCAGCCUUCAGCUGGCACUUGGGGAUGGCCUGUUUAACCUGGGCACUGUGAGAGAAACUGGUGCUGUGCUGCUUCUGAUGCAUGAUCUGCAGUGUUUCUCCCUCAUUUGACAACAUUUCCAUUGCCAGAUCUUUUUAUGGACUGCUCUGGUGCCUGUAGAGGAAAGAUGCUGCUUAGCUCCUCUCAGUAAGGAGCUCCCUGGGACUGGCUUGUUCUGUAAAGCACUGCAAGGAAGGUGACUUUUUCUUACCAAGCAGACGUUUGAUUCAAUGUGGUAAAUGGUUUUUACAGCUUGGUGCCAGGUCGUGAUGGAUGGCUGACAGUGUGCACAGUCAGAGGCCCAUGAUGGUUUAUUCUGUGGCUGACCAGUACACCUCCACCUCUGAUGCUGAGACAGAAGCUCAUUUGCCUGAAGUCCAUAGGGACGUUACCUGUGAUUUGGACACUGGGUUGGUGGGGCUUGAACCAGAAAUCAGUUAUUUCUGGGCCAGAGGCUCUUUUCAUAAUUGUUUUUUAUUACUGUUUGAUAGAGAUCCUUGUGGCCUACCGGUUAUUUUUCAUGAUCCAUUGGGAAAUUUCGCUUUGUUUACAAAACAUUGUCAGGUGUUUUGGUCACAGUGUGUGUGCUUCCUUUUCCUAGCAGUAGCUCCUUGCCCAAGGGAGAGCACUCAUUGAAUUUGGAUGGGUCUGUGCCCCAGGUCCUGCUCUCUCAGUCAGAAGCCAAGGACCAGCGGGUACCCCCCAGUGUGGAACUGAGUGGGAAGGACAGACAGACCUGCCAGUGACCUACAGGAGCCUGUGGUCUUGCCUGAGCAGGAUACUGCCUGUGCUCUGCUGCCUUCCUGCUGUCUCCUGCUGCAUCCUGGAGAAGCCCAAGCACAGAAGGAGCCCAGCAGGACACCUGGCAUGUGUUGACACAGCUGGAAGUCCUGCCCUGCUGCUGUGUGAGGUUCCCCCUGACCAGCUGCAACAGGGCAGGGUGAGAGCUGAAGUUUUAAUAGUGCUGGUUGUGUUUGGCUGGGGAGUCCUGUACCACCGGGAAGCUGCUCUGGAGACUUCCCCUGCCUGCAUUCAAAAAAUGGGAGAAAAUGCAUAAUAUCCUCGGUUAUUCGACUCCCCUGCUCCAAGGGACACUUGGACAGACUUUUAGGCCGCUUUUAUUACUUUCUGACAGAGGAGGGAGCUGUCAGCUCAGCAUUGAGCUUUUCAGCAGGCAGAGGUGCCCACCUGGAGCUGGCUGAGCUGUCUGGGCAGCCCACUGAAGGGACGUGUUCAGCUUGAGGUGCAGGAGAUGGAGCUGAUUUGGAAGUGCUUAAAUCUUCUGCUUUAAGUGCAUGUGUGGAGUGUUUGUGUCCCCUGUACAAUGAAAACCAGUCAUGAGCCUGCAGGGACAGUGGGAGCAGUGGCCUGAGAAGCUGUUUGGAGGUGGAACAUUUGGCAGUGAGACCUUGCAGUUUUUGUUGCUGUAGCAGUGUCCCCUUCCGUUGUACCAAGAGUCCCUGGAAACCUGGACAGCACCUUCCUGUCCAGAGCCAGAGCACCCUCCUCUGUGCCACAGCAAUGCAAGCAGCCCUUUCAUCUGGGAGACCUGCCAGGCAGCAGAAACAGGCAAGGAAACAGCUACAUUAAACUGGCCUGAGGUUGACUCAAGCCAACGUGGACUGGUCUGAAAGUGGAAAAACAACCUGAUUCUAUCUCCUCUUUCUCCUGCUACAACCCAUCAGCAGCCUUCCUGCCUCAGCCAGUGGCAGUGUUGUGAGGUAUGACUUAAUUACAGCCCUGGAAUAAAAAGAAUUUCUUCAUUAGAUGUUGCUUUACAACUGCAUCAGUCAUCUUGUGUCCAGCUGCUGGUGGCAGAGCUCCAAGUGGGCUGGAUGGGGCUGGUUUGGCAGGUAUGUGGAAUGGUGGUGGCUGGAGCAUGAGCUAGGCAGAGCAGGGUUAAGUCAGAAGCUCCAGUGACGUUGCUGAAUUCAGUUUGCCACAAAGAUAUUUUUCUCCUUCAUGCUGGAGCUCUCUUUCUGCAGUCUUUCUGCCUUCAGAAACGUGGCUCAGCCCCAGUUUCUGCGAGUCACACACGUUCAUUCACUGGCUGUUGGAAAAAGGGGAGUGAGAAAAUGUGGUGUCUGUGUUACAUGUUUGGGGACUGGUUUCCACUGUGCCUGUCCUGUGGCAGCAGUUAGGUGACAAAGAUUGAAAGCAUGUCUUCCCACCCAGGGUAUUGUCCUUUAUUUCUCAAGCCACAGAGAUAAUCCCUGUCAGAUGACUCCAUUUUAAAUUGCAGUGAGACCCUGAACUGAUGAUUUAGGAGCACACAGUCUCUUUGUUGUGGUUCUGGGUUUGGUGUGUUGCUUUGUGCCCAAGAAAGAUGGAUUGUUACUCAGCCAAGGCUAAAUGUGGAGGUAAUACCAAACGCUGUAGGAAAUGGAAUCUCUUCCCAGCCCCAGUGAGUCCUCCAAUCCCAAAUUCUUCUUUCCCCCAGGAACUGGUGCUAGAAGCCAGCAGCCUUUCCUCUGCCCCAGUUAAUGUACCAGCACCAGCUUAGUCUUAAUGUUCUGAUCUGGUCUGGAUUAAUGGCAAACCUUGGGUGUUGUGUACAGCAGGGACUGACUCACAUCAGCUCACUUGAUCACUUAUUCCAGGAAAAAUAACACUCAAGUUUGCCAGAGAACUGUCCCUGACACACUGAAAUAUUUGUGAGUUCAAAGCUUUUGCAACUCAGAAUGACAAUUUCUGGACAUUUUCCUCUAAAAUCGUUCAUACUGAAAUGUGAGGAUUGUACAAAGAGUCUUGACAGACUCUUCAGUUUGAGAAGAGUUUAAAAUUGAUCACUUGAACCAAUAGGAGCCUUUGUUCUAGGUAAUAGAACCUAGACUCAGCUCAGACUAAUGUAGAGUUGCACAAAAACCUCCCAAGGAAAAACCAACCUAUAAACUUGGGAUUUAAUCUCAAAUCUUGGGAUUUAAUUUCAAUUUCAUGGAGAGUUUUUUAAGCAGUAUUUUAGCCUCAGUAACCCAGAAAAGGGCUGUAUCUAUCUGGAAAAUAUUGCUUUUCUCAGUGACAGACUUGAUGUGCUCCUUUCAUGUUGGCUAUAUAUAUAUAUUUUUUUUUUUUUAAUUAUUUUUUUUUUUUUGGGCAAGAGGAAAAAGUUAUAGGAGCAAACACUGCACAGACCUAAAACUUCCCCUCUUGUAUGAAAGGAGCAGAGGUUUCAUAAUUAAAUGGAAAAAAAGACUUGCGUUUGGGCUUCUGAGUUUUGGCAGAAGCUCCUGUGGGAUCUGACUGGCCCUCCCCAGCCUCUGCACAGUUGCAUUUCUUUACAAAAAUAGGACCUUUGCUGGUACUGGAGUAAUCAGAGGAGAAUGUAGGGGAAAUGCACUGGGAAAGGAGGAGCAAACUGGGUGUGACAUGUGGUAGAUGGCUCUGAGUUAACUGCUGAGAGCAGUACCUCCUUUUAAUUUACUUAGUGAGGCCAUAUCCCAAGGCUGGGGACCCUCCUGCUCUUUCAAAGUGGUUCUGUAAGGGUUGCUCAGGUGUGGCUUGCUGAUCCUUGACUGGUAGCAGGACCAGAACCACCUCAUAAACUUCUAAAAUCUCGGGAAAUAUAUUUACCUGCAAAAACAACAACAACAACAAAAAAAUAUCGACACAUGCAAAGUUGAGCCUAUGGCUGUGACACUUGGGGGAUAGAAAGGAGGUCACAUUGAGGUGGAAUAAUGUCAGAAAUCCUCUGUGUUCACUAGCUUUUAUUAUGAAUGGUGUGUCCACUACCACGUGAGGUAGUAGGAAAAGAAAGGGAAAUAUGAAAGCAUAAAUAAUCAGGGUUUCUGAAAGUCCUUUUGGAAGCCUUCUCCCUCCUCAGAUUUACAGCAGCUCUCCACAGAUGUUCUGUAGUUGGAGGAGUCUCAGAAGUAUUUUUGCAAGACAGUUUAUUUUUGCCAGAAAGGAGAUGAAAAUCUUAUACCAAAAAUGUCUUUUGACUUCAUUAAAUUUGGAGCUGUUGUUGCAAUGUAGUUCUUUAGAGAGCUGCCAGAGAGGUUUUUAAAAGUGCUAUUUAUACAUGUGCAUUAAAAACAGGAGUACAACAUGGCUAUAAGAAAUUAAUUUUCUGGUUUUGAAGCUAGCAAUUAAGGUUGGAACAAAUGUUCCUGCUUGUUGUUCCUUCUGCAGUCACUCUUGUAAAACUAAAGGAGAACCAUUGACAUGAAAGCUCUGUUGGUGCCACUACCACUGAGCUGCUUUGCUUUGUGAAGUGCCAGACUGGUUACAAUCACAUUGUGUAAGGCUCUUAAAAUCCUGCUGAGAUCCCUGAAUCCUGUUAGGGGAUCCCUCAUUAAAAAUUCUGGAAGACAGUCUAAAUUGUCACUUGCUGUAGAGAAUGAGCUUGUUGACAAGUCCACAUUAAACCCAGCACUUUUUGUGAGCACACUUUGCAAACCCAGAGAGACCAAGCGUGGUGUGUUCCUGAUUCCCUUCUUGGUUCUGUCUGUGUGGAAAAUGGAAAAACACUCUGAGGAAACUAUCUCAUGUUUUCAGCAAGAAAAAACACCCUAAAUUUAAUCUACAUGUCAUGUACAAGAGAGGAGGCUAUGAAAAAGGAGGAAGGAAGGGCCUGGUUGGCCUGGUUUGUUAUUUGUUAAUGUGUAUUCUUUGGUAGCUCAAAGCCAAUGGAAGAUAAUCCUCAGGGUAAAGAAGGAAGUACACACUUGUUGCUAAGGCAAUGCAAGUUGAAGGCCUGCCACAGGAGGAGAAACAAGAGAAUAUUUCAAUGCAAAUGUCCCUAUAAAAUACAUUUUUCACCAGGAAAAGGUGUGGAUAGCCCCACAUAGUGCUUUGUGUGUGUGUGACACACUGCAGUAGGAGGUAGCAAUAUUCCCAGCAUGGGCAAAGGGAGGUGCUGACCUCUGGAUCAAACACAGGUGUCGUGAGGAGCAUUGCCACCAAUGUAGGAACAGAUCCUCCCGAGCACUGGCCCCUGCCUGGCACCUCGGGAGGAAUUUGGCCAGACCUGUUUGGUCGUGAGUCAAAGUUGCGCAUCCAAGUUCCAAGUGACUGGAGCUAUAAACAGCUUAAAAUGAUUUUCAGGGGAGUUCAAAGAUGAAUAAUGCAUCUCUUCAGGCUUGUAAGUGAUCUUUUAUUCACAAAAAGUCAAAGCAAUGUACAAAGGUAGUUGCUGGCCUUGGGGACAGGAGUCUGAAUGACUCCUUGUCAUUCACAGUAGCUACCAGAGGUGAUGUGACAUCUGAAAGGAAGAGAUGAAAGCUCCAUUGCAAUUUGUUAAAUAAAAACCACCUCAGUAUUUUGCUAAAUAGAUGAUAAUCAGAAUGCCAAUCUGCUGUUUAGGGUUUUGUUAGCAAAAAGAGGAGCUCAUAGGCUACAACCUACAGAUGUUUUUCUUCCAUAACUGUAUGGAAGUUUACUUGUAGUAUCCAUGGAAAUUCCCCAUGACAGAAUUACUUGUCCUGCCACUCUGUGUCAUGGCAUUACUGAGUGUUUUGCCUGUCACUGCCAUCCAUUCUGUUUGGUUUGGUGGCUAGUUUUGUUUUAGCCACUGGAUCCUACAACACCCAGGUUUGUGUGGAUUGUGUGGUUCAGGACUGGGAUCUGAACACAAGGUGAGAAUCUAAACUUGACCCUUCUGGUUUCCAAAGGCAGGAGGUAGGAGAGGUUAUGUGUCUGUCUGAAAAGUUCCUUCAUAACUUAAAAACUGCAUUUAAUUAUGGGACUAUUUUUGCUGAUAGAUCCUGGGGAGGGAGAAAUAGUUUGCUGUUUUGCAUUUGUGACCUAAAUAGACAGUUAGCCAUAAGAAUAAUUUGCAUAUUUCUUAACACUUUUAAGUUUGUCUGAAAAUAUGUGUGUGCCUUUUCUUACUCUGUAACACUGAAAUUUUUAUUCCUGUCAUGAGAAAGAAACAUUGCUGUCCUGCAAUGGGAGAUGAAUGUAAAUCUGAGGGCAAGCCAAUGCACCAACAGUAAAUCCUUCAGUGCAUCUCCCCUUUUGUCUUAGGAGAGGCACCAGAAGGUCAGGGGCUGAAGUGCUGCUGAGCUUUUCACGCUGUUUGCCUUUAUGGGAUGCCAGUUGCAUGUGAGCCCUUCCUGGUCUCACCUCGAAGUUUUCCCACCAACAGCAGCUGCAUUUCCACAAAUGAAUGAUCUUUUAGAAAAUGUAUUGAUCAUACAAGAAGCUCCACACUGGCAAAUAUUAAAAGUUUGUGUGUCAGUACUGGGUGCUUAGAAGUGGAACCCGUUAUGCAGAGGGGUAAACCUGUGCUCUCUUGUGCAGCCUUUGCGAAUGAUUCCCAGGCAGCUUCCUGCUCCCAGCACCACUAACCCUGUGUUUAGGGAGGCCAGUGGCCAAAACCUUACUGACUUAAGUGAGCCACGCCCUGGGCCAGGCAGCACUCAAACAGCCCUUUGUGCCUUCCCUCUGCCCACACAGCCCAGUCCUGCCCUCUGCCACCACAGUCCCUGCCCUCUGCAGUGUCUUUCCUCUGAAGAGGACCUACCAGGUGAGCAUUUCCACGUGCCUGUGCUGCCUUCCUUCCAGUUUUUUCCACAACUGAUGGUCUCCUUCGGUUGCAAGGAACCAAGUGCCAGCCUUGGUUCAUCAACAGUAAUGCAGAGUUGCUGUUAUGGGCCUCCAGGAAGGACUUGGGAGUGGCGCCCAUCUGUGUCUGUGCUGAUGGAAAUUCCUCAGGGCUGUGUGAUCUGUUCUGGUCUCUUGCCUGCCCCUCUAGGGAGGGUAUUUCCAUGCAGAGUUAGUCAGAGCCGUUUGUGUUUUGCCAUGUUCCCAAGGUGAUCAGUAUCCUUAUCACAUCUAUUUGCUUACUGUGCACCUGAAGUGACCUUUGCAAACUCAGCUCACCUUGUCCAGCAGGUGAAGGCAACUGAGAGAGGAAGGACAAGGAAGUAUCUUGUCCUGGAGCAGAGGAGGGAGGGUCCAGCAGAUGGGAGCAGAAAGCCAAGGACUGGGCCAAGGCUGAGCUGAAUAUCCCAGCAUGGGUACCCUGCUGAGACAAUGUGGACUCUUGCAGGAGUGAGAUGAGGUCACUGCCCUACUGAGCAUCAUUUCUGCCUGCUGAUGCUGGGAUGAAGCUGGAGUCCCUCCACAGAGAGGCUGCAGAUGUAGGAGUGUUGGCUGGAGGUUGAGAGGUGGGCAGCUCACCCACAUCUGCUUCUGCUCACAGCCCACCUCCACUUCUGACUGCCACUUAGCAUUCAAAUGGGAAUGGGCUGAUCUGCAUCCCCUGUUAGUGAUGUUAGGGCUCAAACAAAUCUGCUGAGACCAAGUGCCUGCCAUACCCUGGCACACAGGGCCCUGCUGGAGAGCACAUUUUACCUUCCUCACCUCCCCAGCUCACUGGUUCAGAGUGAAGGCAUGAAGCUGUCAAAUGAGACCCAAAUUUUAGUGUUUGCU
Molecule: long non-coding RNA, 8318 nt
Organism: Passer domesticus (house sparrow)
Lineage: Eukaryota; Metazoa; Chordata; Aves; Passeriformes; Passeridae
Exons: 2
Source: RefSeq, a predicted model, not a curated record